GAAGAGGAAGAGGUGGGUGGUUUCCAUGGAGUGUGGUGGUGGUCUCUCAUUGUUUAGUUGCUGUGAUUGAGGUCGGUCGGGUAACGACGGAGACACUAAAACAUCGUGUCACGGUCGCCGUAGGAGCCGUUACUGCUUGGACAAAUUUGAACACAUUGCGUCUUCGUUACAGUCUCACAGAGCUGUAGGUCAGUUUGAAACUCUAGCUGAAGUGAGUAACACUAUAACAUAACACAACACGGCAAGUGAAGAUUUUGUUGUCUAGUAUAUGUGUUGGGAGCAAAUAAAAUGGGCAAAUCGAAGGAUUUGAGUGACUUUGACAAGGGCCAGAUCGUGAUGGGUAGACGACUUGGUCUGAGCAUCUCCAAAACCGCAGCCCUUGUGGGCUGUUCCCGGUCGGCAGUGGUCAAUACCUAUCAAAAGUGGAUCAAGGAAGGAAAGGCGGUGAACCGGCGACAGGGUAACGGGCGGCCGAGGCUCAUUGACGAGGAAAUGCUGGCCAGCGUGGUCCAGUCCAACAAACAAGCGACUGUAGCCGAAAUCGCGGAAAAGGUUAACGCUAGUUCUGACAUAAAGGUGUCGGAACACACGGUGCAUCGCAGUUUGUUGCGUAUGGGGCUGGGGAGCCGCAGCGCAGUCAGGGUGACCAUGGUUUGAGGAACGCGUCGACGAGCUCAAGAUGUCGACUUGCCCUUCAAAUUCCCCAAGUCUCAAUUCAGUCAAGCAUCCGUGGGAUGCGCUGGACAAAUAAUUCCGAUCCACGGAGUCCUCACCACACAACCUGCAAGACUUAAAGGAUCUGCUGCUAAUGUUCUGGUUCCAAAUACCACAGCCCACCUCCAGAGGUAGAGGAGUCUGUGCCUCGACAGGUCAGGACGUUUUUUUGGUGCAGAAGGAGAGGGGGGGGCUACAUUUAUUUCCAACGUUGUCCGGAGGUUUCUGUUUUGUCGUAUCUCCAUUAGUUUGUCACUGCUGCAAACGUGGCUUAAUACUAAACAUGUGCUUUGGUUUUCGGUGUAGCCUCUUGAAACCACAUGUUCCAAAGCUGUACAAUUUAUGGUAGUGUUCUCAUCUGUGUACUAAAUACUUUUGAAUAAAGUUUGUGUCUGUUUGUAGAGUCA
This is a long non-coding RNA of Mugil cephalus (flathead mullet), 1121 nucleotides long. RefSeq lists it as uncharacterized. The record is from RefSeq and is a predicted model, not a curated record. The transcript is spliced from 2 exons. Lineage: Eukaryota; Metazoa; Chordata; Actinopteri; Mugiliformes; Mugilidae.